GAGGUAUCUGAUGCUCAAGUCAAUCAAGUUGUUAGUGGUGCAUUGGACCGUUUGCAUUAUGAACGUGAUCCUUGUGUACAGUUUGAUAAUGAGAAGAAGCUCUGGGUUUACUUACAUAGAGAUAGAGAAGAAGAAGAUUUUGAGGAUGAUGGUACUUCAUCUACAAAGAAAUGGAAGAGGCAAAAGAAAGAAGCUCCCAGAAGAUUUUGAGGAUGAUGGAACUUCAUCUACAAAGAAAUGGAAGAGACAAAAGAAAGAAGCUCCCGAACCCUCUGACCAAGUAGCAGUAACCAUCGCUUAUCAUGGCACAGGGGAGCAAAACGGUUUUGAUUUGAGCUCAGAUCUCAAUGUUG
Molecule: long non-coding RNA, 353 nt
Filed under: Nicotiana benthamiana
Lineage: Eukaryota; Viridiplantae; Streptophyta; Magnoliopsida; Solanales; Solanaceae
Description: long non-coding RNA (NBEN_LNC041259)
Source: RNAcentral